Molecule: RNA transcript, 2071 nt
Organism: Vespa velutina
Lineage: Eukaryota; Metazoa; Arthropoda; Insecta; Hymenoptera; Vespidae
Gene name: fatty acid synthase-like
Exons: 4
Source: RefSeq, a predicted model, not a curated record
AGUAGAUUGAACUCACACUUUUCAAUUUCUCAUAUUUUUAUUUUUUUUUAUGGUAGCGUGCAUCUCACAGUGAUUCGUGCUAGAUAUAAUGUUGAUGUAUCUGUACGAUUUUUCAAAAACAUUGAUGUGAUUGUAGCAGGGGAUGUAAAAAUUCAUAAAGUUAGAAAUAUUGCGAUUGCUAGAAAAAGAUGUAUCAGUGAUCCAAUUAAUGAAGAAUAUAAAUUCACUGCUUAUCGUGAUAGAAAGGAAAUGUCAUUACGAGAAAUGUUAAUAUUAAAAUCACCAAUGAUCAAGGCGAAGACAAUCGAACUCGUUGAGGAUAAGAACAAUAUCUCAGUAGAGAAACUUGUUUCUCCGCUGCUUUUAGAGAUUUUAAAUAAUUUGCAUUUGAUGGAAGCUGAUAUUAAUAUAUUCGAAUCGCCAAGCAAAUUCGAUUAUAGAUAUUUCUGAAGAUGUCACUAUUUUAGAAUCAAGUAUGAUGAAAAUAGGUGAAAGUAUCAUUGACUCUUGGAUAUGGAUUGUUGACAAACGGAGAAAGGGACAGCUUAAAACAACAUCUAAAAUUUACAACAAACAGUGGUUUUGUUUUAGCUUGUGAAAAAAAAAACAAAUACAUAACUGGACAUCGAUUUUACAGGAAUUUCAAUUACGUACAGUUUUAGAGAAAUGUACUUCCGGGGAAUCUUGGAUAUUGUUAAAAAAUACUAUUAAAAUUCAGGAAAAACAUGAUUGUUAACGUUAAGAGCAAUGAAUUUAAGUGGUUGCAACAAGUACAAACUAUACUUAUCAGGAAUGAAAAAUAGAAUAUCAAUAAUACGAAUGGCAUACUUGUUGAAGAAGGGAACUUCUAAUCUGGUCUUCAUUCUGGAAUUCAUUAAUUGUUUACAAAAUGAACCCGACUGAGACGUUUUCUGAGUUGAUUUACUUCAAGAUCUUAAAGUUUUCUUUGACAUUAACACUUUAUUCCUAUAUUUAUAUCAGCUACUUCCACCUCGCGAGUCCAAACUUACUUAUCACGCCAUUAUUAGUCAAUUGAGAUUUAAGUACGAUACGCUGAGUUGAAAGGACAAUUACAAAGGAUUAUUAAAAUGAAGAUCUUGUUAUUUUUCAUUAUACAUCAUUGAAUUUUAAAGAUGUGAUGUUGUUAAUGAGUAAAAUAGCACCAGACGUAAAAACACAAGACAAAAAAGACUUAGAUAACCUAUUUGGAUUUGAAUACAGCGGAAUCACCAUUAAUAGUCGUCGUAUUGUGGGAGUUAACCGCAAUAGAUGUUUAUCAAAUUUUUGUCAGUUGGACGAAACUUUUUCUUGGACUGUACCUGAAAGUUGGAGUUUAGAGGAUGCAGCAACUUUAUUGUAUGUCUAUUGCACAUGUAUCUUUGCACUUUACAUUAAUGUAGAAAUGAAAAAGGGUGACAAAAUACUUAUUCAUACUGGUUCUGAUGAUAUUGGCCAAACCGCAAUUAACUUAGUCCUUUGGGCUGUGAAAUAUUUACUACAGUUGUUACACCAGAAAAAUUUUCUUUAAAUUUAUUAAAGAAACAUUUACUAGUAUCGAUGAUAAUCACAUUGGAAAUUUUCGAGAUACUAACUUCGAGAAAAUGGUUUUGCAACAAACUCAUGAUGCAGGUGUAAACAUUGUUCUAAAUUCUUUAGCAGAAGAUAAACUUCAAGCGAGUCUGCGUUGUUUAGCCCAUAGAGGUAAAUUUUUAAAAAUUGAUAAGUUUGACUUAGCAGUAAGUAUGAAUUAAGCACCAGAAUCUUUAUGGAGGGCUGUGUUUUUAUGAUGCAAUGUUAAAUAAGAUUAUAAACACAAAUGACGAAGUCAAAAACGAAAUUAGUUCAAUAUUCAACAAACUUAUUAAGGAGAAUGCUAUCAAGCCGAUAAUUAGGAUAGUCUUCGACAAAUAUCAAUUAAAGACAGCACAGAUUCAUGGCAGUUGAAAAGCAUAUUGGAAAAGUAAUUUAAUGUUCGUUGUUGAAAUAUUUUUUUGUUUUAACAAAUUAAAUUAUAAUUUGAAAUCCGUAUUAUAUGUCAUAAGUACUGAUAAAGAUCCGUGAAAAGAAUGAA